Molecule: non-coding RNA, 49 nt
Filed under: Ligilactobacillus acidipiscis KCTC 13900
Lineage: Bacteria; Bacillati; Bacillota; Bacilli; Lactobacillales; Lactobacillaceae
Source: RNAcentral
GGUUGAAGUUUCGACUUUCAAGAAUUUUCCUUGGUUUGGGUUGCCAAGG